CCAGCUUCGGAAAGGCAAGCCUCCUCCAGCCUGGCACAGUCUCCCUGUCUCUCUAGUCCCUCCACAAACACUGGCAAGGAGAGCGAUUCACUUCCCGAGCUUUCUUGCUGGAGUACUCGUGCCAAGACCUGCACCUUCAUUUGAUUUAUUAAACAGCUAUGCAAGAUUGUCUUUGGAUGAAGUCACUCAUAUAUUCUAGGCAUGAAUGGAUGGUGACCAGAUGAAUCCACAAAGCAAAAAUGGGAAAAUAAAAAGUAGACAUUCAUAUUUCCUCUAGCUAGCAAGUGGUCCAUGAUUCUGCUGACUCAGAGAAACAUACUGCAAUGCCACAGUCUCAGUGAAACACAAAAGAAAGCACAAAGGACAAGUAAAAAAUAAACUGUGCAAUAAUCUGAGUCUUUAUCAGGUACCUCCUGGAAUUCAUGCAUCCCCAAAUAUAGUAUUCAUGGGAAAGUGAUGCCAGAAGCAAAAGGCAUGUGAAAUCAACUGGAAGACAGGGCUAAUCAAGAGCAUGAGGCCAGCACACUACCACAUUUAUAUGAUUAAGAAUUUGUACAGUUAACAAAAUAAGAAUGCUUAGAAUAAAUGGAAGCAUCUGCUGGUAAUUGCAAA
Molecule: long non-coding RNA, 612 nt
Organism: Erinaceus europaeus (western European hedgehog)
Lineage: Eukaryota; Metazoa; Chordata; Mammalia; Eulipotyphla; Erinaceidae
Exons: 2
Source: RefSeq, a predicted model, not a curated record